GGUGAACGCUGGCGGCGUGCCUAAUACAUGCAAGUCGAGCGAAGAGGGGACGGGUGAGUAACACGUGGGUAACCUCCUAUAAGACUGGGAUAACUUCGGGAAACCGGAGCUAAAACGGAUACUUAUAGCUGGAUGCACGCUGCAUUAGCUGGGUGGUAGGGUAACGGCUUACCAAGGCCACGAUGUAUAGCCGACCUGAGAGGGUGAUCAGCCACACUGGAACUGAGACACGGUCCAGACUCCUACGGGAGGCAGCAGUAGGGAAUCUUGCGCAAUGGGCGCAAGCCUGACGGAGCAAUGCCGCGUGUGUGAUGAAGGUCUUCGGAUCGUAAAACUCUGUCAUUAGGGAAGCGUUACCUACUCAGAAAGCCACGGCUAACUACGUGCCAGCCGCCGCGGUAAUAC
RNAcentral lists this ribosomal RNA (405 nucleotides) under uncultured bacterium. RNAcentral describes it as "partial 16S ribosomal RNA". It matches the Rfam family "Bacterial small subunit ribosomal RNA", at positions 28 to 526 of the family's 1533-position model. The record is from RNAcentral.